UACGUAGGGUGCGAGCGUUAAUCGGAAUUACUGGGCGUAAAGCGUGCGUAGGCGGUUCGUUAUGUCUGCUGUGAAAGCCCCGGGCUUAACCUGGGAAUGGCAGUGGAAACUGGCGGGCUUGAGUGUGGCAGAGGGGGGUGGAAUUCCGCGUGUAGCAGUGAAAUGCGUAGAGAUGCGGAGGAACACCGAUGGCGAAGGCAGCCCCCUGGGUCAAGACUGACGCUCAUGCACGAAAGCGUGGGGAGCAAACAGG
This 253-nucleotide ribosomal RNA is filed under the name uncultured bacterium. RNAcentral's name for it is "partial 16S ribosomal RNA". It matches the Rfam family "Bacterial small subunit ribosomal RNA", at positions 524 to 776 of the family's 1533-position model. The record is from RNAcentral.